UACGAAGGGGGCUAGCGUUGCUCGGAAUCACUGGGCGUAAAGCGCGCGUAGGCGGGUCUUUAAGUCAGGGGGGAAAUCCUGGAGCUCAACUCCAGAACUGCCUUUGAUACUGGGGAUCUCGAGUCCGGAAGAGGUGAGUGGAACUCCGAGUGUAGAGGUGAAAUUCGUAGAUAUUCGGAAGAACACCAGUGGCGAAGGCGGCUCACUGGUCCGGUACUGACGCUGAGGUGCGAAAGCGUGGGGAGCAAACGGG
Molecule: ribosomal RNA, 253 nt
Filed under: uncultured bacterium
Lineage: Bacteria
Description: partial 16S ribosomal RNA
Rfam family: Bacterial small subunit ribosomal RNA
Source: RNAcentral